UAAGCACAAGCAGCCCAAACAUCACUACAUUACUGAUCUCUACUUGGGACAAUAACAUGAAGUUAUUAUAAUAGGGCCUUCUAAUAGGAGUUCUUGAAUGUCAACAUCAUGUAUUUGUCGAUUUUUUAAGUCCUCCUUGGAAUGAGCAAGUUGUAGCAAAGCAACAAAUAAAAAACCCAAGGAGCAUCUGGGCAAGUGUUGG
This is a non-coding RNA of Pelobates cultripes (western spadefoot toad), 202 nucleotides long. NCBI's taxonomy places the organism in Eukaryota, Metazoa, Chordata, Amphibia, Anura, Pelobatidae. The record is from the annotation of a GenBank genome assembly.